This 1580-nucleotide long non-coding RNA is filed under the name Mytilus galloprovincialis (Mediterranean mussel). Lineage: Eukaryota; Metazoa; Mollusca; Bivalvia; Mytilida; Mytilidae. The record is from RNAcentral.
AAGUGUUUUAGCUGCAGUAAAAAAAUAAAAUACUCGAAUUUUUUUUUUAUUUCAUUUAAUGUAACAUAGAUAUAUAAACAUGUAUAAGUUUGUAUAACAUUUACUUAUUGCCUUUUCAAUAAAAAUAAAGGGAGGUGUAGUAUGAUUGCCAGGGAGACAACUAACUAGAAACCAAAUGCCAUAGAAGUUUACAACUAUAGCUAUAUAGGUCACUGUAUGGCCUUCAACAAGAAGCAAAACCUGUUCCUCUUAGCUAUAAAAGGCCCUGAUAUGACAAUCUUAAAACAAUUAAUACAGACGAGAAAAAUACCAAAACAAUGAACAAAAAACAAAUAUGAUAUACUGUAACAUAUGAAAACCACUAAAUUACAAGGUCCUGACUUGGCACAGACAGAGUGAUAAACUUUGAGGGUAUUUUUCAAGUAAAUAAUUCCAACAAACAACAUAUAUAUAGGUCCGACACCCAUUGUAGCAAAUGAUAAAAAGUUAACACUGGUAUUUUUUUUAAAGCUAUGAAACUUUACACUAAGUAAAACAGGAAUGCACACAUUGUCUUAAGCAUUUACUCACUCUUAAUUUAAUAUUGAAAAAAAGGAAGUAAUUGUCUUGAAACAUACAAAAAGCGCGAUCAUCUUAUACAUCUUAUCAAUGCUGGUGGUGUUACCAAAUAUAAAGUCAUUUUGAUCAGUAGUAUUGUAGAAAUGUGUGAUGACAAUUUUACUGUGCAUUUACUAUAGUGAAAAAUUCAAAAUAUCAGCAAACAGGAAGUACUUAGUAGGUAUCUCUCAGAUAUGAGAAGUGGUUACAGAUUAUAACUCAUCACUGUCAAGCUGCUAGCCAAACAUGAAAUCAUUCACCUAAGUGGUUUCGGAUGAAAUUAUUUGUUGGAAAAAUAGACAAAGUGACUGUAAUAUAACCCCCAUUUCUAGCAUGGGGGUUUAGUUUAUUCAAUAACAUUACUAUUCCAAUAAGAAGUUAUUUUUUUUUGGAAAGUUAAAUCCCUUUAUCCCAUUUAACUUGGUAACAAUUGUCUUACAAUUUCUUGGGCUUAUAGAGUUAAGAAUAUGUUGUAAAGGCCAUAUAGUCAAUUCAAUGUGCUUAUUUUUGGAUGGAAUUUUUUCAAUGCUCUAUUUUUAUUCAUCUACAAUAUGUUGUAUAAAAAUCUAGUAAAAUAUUAGUUCUCUAAGAAAGAGUCACAAAACUGACUACAGAGUGAGAUCAAGAGCAAGACAACAAGUUAAAAUGAACAUACUUCUACAAAUAAAUCCUGAUAAAUCAUAUAUAUAUAGGAAAAUUAUCUUUAAUUAAUUCUUUGUAAGUCAAAAGUAAUGUCAUGUCAAUUCUCAGAUAUGUAUAACUCAAACACCUGCAAGUUACCUGUCCAUUUAAACUUUUGUAAGUCCUAUUGUCCCAUCUAACAAAUACAACAGCUAUUGUUCUCUUUAGUUUAUUCAAUGGACUUUAAAUUUCUUGCAAGAGAAAUCUAUCACUCACUGAUUAAUUUACCUGAACAAAAAAUUGAACUGUCAAUGAUGGAAAUACAUUUAUAAGUAAUUAUGUAACUGCAUGUGAUGUUGUAU